AGCAGCCGCGGUAAUUCCAGCUCCAAUAGCGUAUAUUAAAGUUGUUGCAGUUAAAAAGCUCGUAGUUGAAUUUCGAGAUCAAAUUGUUGGUCGUGCCUCGGUACGUACUGGCAUUAUUGAUUUCUCCCUUCUGAAGAACCACGAUGUCAUUAAUUUGGUGUCGUGGGGAAUUCAGGACCGUUACUUUGAAAAAAUUAGAGUGUUUAAAGCAGGCUCACGCUUGAAUACAUUAGCAUGGAAUAAUGAAAUAGGACGUUUGAUUCUAUUUUGUUGGUUUCUAGGAUCGACGUAAUGAUUAAUAGGGAUAGUUGGGGGCAUUAGUAUUCAAUUGUCAGAGGUGAAAUUCUUGGAUUUAUUGAAGACUAACUACUGACGAAAGCAUUUGCCAAGGAUGUUUUCAUUAAUCAAGAACGAAAGUUAGGGGAUCGAAGACGAUCAGAUACCGUCGUAGUCUUAACCAUAAACUAUGCCGACUAGGGAUCGGAU
Molecule: ribosomal RNA, 486 nt
Filed under: uncultured Glomus
Lineage: Eukaryota; Fungi; Glomeromycota; Glomeromycetes; Glomerales; Glomeraceae
Description: SSU rRNA
Rfam family: Eukaryotic small subunit ribosomal RNA
Source: RNAcentral